Molecule: ribosomal RNA, 492 nt
Filed under: uncultured bacterium
Lineage: Bacteria
Description: partial 16S ribosomal RNA
Rfam family: Bacterial small subunit ribosomal RNA
Source: RNAcentral
AGUGAACGCUGGCGGUAGGCCUAACACAUGCAAGUCGAACGGCAGCACGGUAAGAGCUUGCUCUUACGGGUGGCGAGUGGCGGACGGGUGAGGAAUACAUCGGAAUCUACUUUUUCGUGGGGGAUAACGUAGGGAAACUUACGCUAAUACCGCAUACGACCUACGGGUGAAAGCAGGGGAUCUUCGGACCUUGCGCGAUUGAAUGAGCCGAUGUCGGAUUAGCUAGUUGGCGGGGUAAAGGCCCACCAAGGCGACGAUCCGUAGCUGGUCUGAGAGGAUGAUCAGCCACACUGGAACUGAGACACGGUCCAGACUCCUACGGGAGGCAGCAGUGGGGAAUAUUGGAUAAUGGGCGCAAGCCUGAUCCAGCCAUACCGCGUGGGUGAAGAAGGCCUUCGGGUUGUAAAGCCCUUUUGUUGGGAAAGAAAAGCAGCAGGUUAAUACCCCGCUGUUCUGACGGUACCCAAAGAAUAAGCACCGGCUAACUUCGUG